RNAcentral lists this ribosomal RNA (377 nucleotides) under uncultured organism. Its description in RNAcentral is "partial 16S ribosomal RNA". It matches the Rfam family "Bacterial small subunit ribosomal RNA", at positions 527 to 897 of the family's 1533-position model. The record is from RNAcentral.
GUAGGUGGCAAGCGUUGUCCGGAAUUAUUGGGGCGUAAAGCGCGCGCAGGCGGUUCUUUUAAGUCUGAUGUGAAAGCCCACGGGCUCAACCGUGGAGGGGUCAUUGGAAACUGGAGAACUUGAGUACAGAAGAGGAAAGCGGAAUUCCACGUGUAGCGGUGAAAUGCGUAGAGAUGUGGAGGAACACCAGUGGCGAAGGCGGCUUUCUGGUCUGUAACUGACGCUGAGGCGCGAAAGCGUGGGGAGCAAGCAGGAUUAGAUACCCUGGUAGUCCACGCCGUAAACGAUGAGUGCUAAGUGUUAGGGGGUUUCCGCCCCUUAGUGCUGCAGCUAUCGCAUUAAGCACUCCGCCUGGGGAGUACGGCCGCAAAGGCUGA